CAGUCAAUGCGAUUUCCAGACUAUUUCCAAACGCCAGCGUGGAUGUCAAAUAAAAAAGCUAAAUGACGUUUCUGUAUUCUGUAAAAAAUAUUUCUUUGAACUAAACUUAUUCGUAAUUAAAAUAAGUUGUGCAAUAAGAAUAUAUAAUGAAUCUCUUUCAAGUGAACUCGAAGCCGUAUUUAAUAAGAAUGCCUCUUAUUUUUACAUUUUUAUUUACAAUCGUCGCAACAGCAGAUUUUACAUACACAGGACAUAUUAAUGAAGAAGGUCAUAGUGCUACAAAGCCUAAAUUUGUAGCCUACGAUCACAACCGACAACGUCGUGAUGUCGACUCUGCCACCGUGCCUACCUCUCCCGCCACAACAAAUGCUUCCAGCGCAGUGCCUUCCCCUGUUACCCCGACUAGUGCAUCUGAUCAAACCAAUAACGCGACGGUUGCAAAUACAUCACUGCCACCAUUUACUGUCGUAACGAAGAUACCAUUGCUUGGAGUCAAUGGUUCAGGCAUUUUACACGUAGAUGUAAAUUCACCCAAAGUGAGCGAUCCGAUCGCUGCAGAUGAUAACUCGAACGAUGUGUUCAAAGAAACUCCUGAAACUAUAAAGGCUGAACACAACAUAACUAACCUGAGUUAUGAUAACCACAGUUUCUACAAUAGUACGUUCAUUGGACAUUUGGAUUAUUUUCAAGAAUAUUGGGCCAACAUUACUCGGCCGAAAGCAGAAGUACAUGAGGUUUUAAGCAACUCUCAUCGACGUGCGACGACUAUAAAGGCGUCGUUCCCGUUCCCGUUCUACGGGCAUCCAGUGAGCAACAUGACUGUAGCCACAGGCGGGUUCAUAUACAUGGGCGACCAAGUGCACAACUGGCUCGCAGCCACUCAGUACAUAGCCCCGCUCAUGGCCAACUUUGACACCAAGCUCACUAAUGACAGCUUCGUCAAAAUGUACGAUGACGGUGAAAAGUUCACUGUAUUCUGGGAAAAUGUCACCCUACGACAGGACGUUGAAAAAAAGUUCACGUUCGCUGUGACGUUGUAUAAGAAUGGGGACAUCAUAUUCGCAUACAAGGACAUUCCUCUAGCGGUGAAAGAUAUCAUCGAUAGCGAACAUCCAGUCAAAGUUGGUAUCAGCGAUGCAUAUCUAACCGAUAAAUUUCACUACCAUGUUAGACGCAAGACAAUUUACGAGUACCACCGUGUAUCGUUCAAGAAUUAUGAGAUCACAAACAAUACCAUAUUGAAACUGGUCGCGCUUCCAACAUGCCUGCAGUACGAUUCAUGCCAAAGCUGUGCUAAUCACGAAACAGGCUUUAAAUGUCUAUGGUGCGAUCAAAUACAAGUGUGUUCAAGUGGAACGGAUCGCAAUAAGCAAGACUGGAUUCUUAGACAUUGCGACAAGUCGGCUAUAUCAAACGAGACUAUGUGUCCGGCGAGCACGCACGUGGAUGCGCCGGACGGCUCCGGCAAGAUCGUGUACACCACCGACACCCGGCCGACCUCCACUCAUGACACGGCCAUCGUGACCACUGGUAACGUACUAUCAGAUCUAUGCUCGAUUGUUGCGUAGAUUGCAACAAGUCGGCUAUAUCAAACGAGACUAUGUGUCCGGCGAGCACGCACGUGGAUGCGCCGGACGGCUCCGGCAAGAUCGUGUACACCACCGACACCCGGCCGACCUCCACUCAUGACACGGCCAUCGUGACCACUGGUAACGUACUAUCAGAUCUAUGCUCGAUUGUUGCGUAGAUUGCAACAAGUCGGCUAUAUCAAACGAGACUAUGUGUCCGGCGAGCACGCACGUGGAUGCGCCGGACGGCUCCGGCAAGAUCGUGUACACCACCGACACCCGGCCGACCUCCACUCAUGACACGGCCAUCGUGACCACUGGUAACGUACUAUCAGAUCUAUGCUCGAUUGUUGCGUAGAUUGCAACAAGUCGGCUAUAUCAAACGAGACUAUGUGUCCGGCGAGCACGCACGUGGAUGCGCCGGACGGCUCCGGCAAGAUCGUGUACACCACCGACACCCGGCCGACCUCCACUCAUGACACGGCCAUCGUGACCACUGGUAACGUACUAUCAGAUCUAUGCUCGAUUGUUGCGUAGAUUGCAACAAGUCGGCUAUAUCAAACGAGACUAUGUGUCCGGCGAGCACGCACGUGGAUGCGCCGGACGGCUCCGGCAAGAUCGUGUACACCACCGACACCCGGCCGACCUCCACUCAUGACACGGCCAUCGUGACCACUGGUAACGUACUAUCAGAUCUAUGCUCGAUUGUUGCGUAGAUUGCAACAAGUCGGCUAUAUCAAACGAGACUAUGUGUCCGGCGAGCACGCACGUGGAUGCGCCGGACGGCUCCGGCAAGAUCGUGUACACCACCGACACCCGGCCGACCUCCACUCAUGACACGGCCAUCGUGACCACUGGUAACGUACUAUCAGAUCUAUGCUCGAUUGUUGCGUAGAUUGCAACAAGUCGGCUAUAUCAAACGAGACUAUGUGUCCGGCGAGCACGCACGUGGAUGCGCCGGACGGCUCCGGCAAGAUCGUGUACACCACCGACACCCGGCCGACCUCCACUCAUGACACGGCCAUCGUGACCACUGGAGUUGUGAACUCGGAGCCGGCAGCCAAGGCGGCGGCGCCGGUGGCGGCGCCAGCAGCGGUGCCGGCGGCAGCCAGCGCGGCGGUGGAGGCGCGCGCGUCGUCGCCGGUGGGCGGCGUGGUGGGCGCCUU
RNA transcript from Maniola jurtina (meadow brown), 2734 nucleotides. It is a transcript of the gene named plexin domain-containing protein 2, with no coding region annotated. NCBI's taxonomy places the organism in Eukaryota, Metazoa, Arthropoda, Insecta, Lepidoptera, Nymphalidae. The record is from RefSeq and is a predicted model, not a curated record. The transcript has 11 exons.